Non-coding RNA from Myodes glareolus (Bank vole), 603 nucleotides. The record is from RefSeq and is a predicted model, not a curated record. Lineage: Eukaryota; Metazoa; Chordata; Mammalia; Rodentia; Cricetidae.
UCUGUCUCUUUCUCUCUUGUUCUGUCUUUCCUCCCCCAUUUCAUCUCAAUAAACUCCACAUUCGAGCUCUGUCUGUAUGGCGUAUUUGUCUCCCGCCGGAGGCCCUCACCCACCGCGGGACCUUCCGGGGUCCCUCUCGCUCCGUCAUCAUAACACUUAUGUAUCAAUCAUCUGUCUGGACACCUGAAGAUCAAGCUGGACUGUCGGUGGUUUUUCAACUGCCUGGCAGGGAGUUUACACACUGAAGCUUCCCUUUUAAUAAAGUACCAUCUUCAGGAGACACCUAUCUUAGAACAGGUCAGCUCGUUUCCAGGUGUAUGCUACUGAAAAAUAAAUCACAGAGCCAGAGAGAGGACAAAUUGGAUCCAUGGGAAUUCGUCACCAGCUUUAUUCCUGCAGAUGACCUAAAGCUCACCUGCUCUGAAUCCUGGUCAUUGAACUUGCUCUGCUUCUCCUUUCUCCUCUCAUUUGAAGGUUGUCUGCCUUGAACUCACGAGAUGAGACUUUUAGUGAGACCACAGAAGCAGAAAGAAGUGGGAUUUGCCCUUUGACUCAACUGGGAUCCGUACACCUCUUAUCAUAAGAAAAACGAUCUUUGAAAAA